CGCGCAGGCGGUCGUUCAAGUCGAGUGUGAAAGCCCCCGGCUCAACUGGGGAGGGUCAUUCGAUACUGAUCGACUCGAAGGCAGGAGAGGGAAGUGGAAUUCCCGGUGUAGUGGUGAAAUGCGUAGAUAUCGGGAGGAACACCAGUGGCGAAGGCGACUUCCUGCCUGUUCUUGACGCUGAGGCGCGAAAGCUAGGGAGCAAACG
Molecule: ribosomal RNA, 205 nt
Filed under: uncultured bacterium
Lineage: Bacteria
Description: partial 16S ribosomal RNA
Rfam family: Bacterial small subunit ribosomal RNA
Source: RNAcentral